Molecule: ribosomal RNA, 497 nt
Filed under: uncultured bacterium
Lineage: Bacteria
Description: partial 16S ribosomal RNA
Rfam family: Bacterial small subunit ribosomal RNA
Source: RNAcentral
GAUGGACGCUGGCGGCGUGCCUAAUACAUGCAAGUCGAGCGAACGGACGAGAAGCUUGCUUCUCUGAUGUUAGCGGCGGACGGGUGAGUAACACGUGGAUAACCUACCUAUAAGACUGGGAUAACUUCGGGAAACCGUAGCUAAUACCGGAUAAUAUUUUGAACCGCAUGGUUCAAAAGUGAAAGACGGUCUUGCUGUCACUUAUAGAUGGAUCCGCGCUGCAUUAGCUAGUUGGUAAGGUAACGGCUUACCAAGGCAACGAUGCAUAGCCGACCUGAGAGGGUGAUCGGCCACACUGGAACUGAGACACGGUCCAGACUCCUACGGGAGGCAGCAGUAGGGAAUCGUCCGCAAUGGGCGAAAGCCUGACGGAGCAACGCCGCGUGAGUGAUGAAGGUCUUCGGAUCGUAAAACUCUGUUAUUAGGUAAGAACAUAUGUGUAAGUAACUGUGCACAUCUUGACGGUACCUAAUCAGAAAGCCACGGCUAACUACGUG